RNAcentral lists this long non-coding RNA (585 nucleotides) under Gallus gallus (chicken). The record is from RNAcentral. Lineage: Eukaryota; Metazoa; Chordata; Aves; Galliformes; Phasianidae.
GGACAGAGCAGUGGCCAAGAGCUCAGAGGCAGCGAUGCCUUUGCUGCAGGGUGGGGAUCAGUGAUCUUCUCUGGAAGAAAAGUGUGUACAGCAAUGGAUACUGUGGUGCUCAAAGUGGAUGACUCUUGCCAUUAGAAUCACCAGAAUGUUCACCCAACACACUUCUCUACAAGACCGCAUUUUAAUCAGGGUCAGAAGAAUGGUCACCCUGCACAAAGAACAGGUGCUUUUAGCACUUACAGGCAUGCUGCAUAAUGGAUGGGAGCAAUACCUCUUCAGCCAAAGCAGGCAAUCUUGUUUUCCUACUCAGAAGGUGGACCAGAAAUGUAUCCCAUAAGACUGACUCUUCCUCAGGCUAUUGAAUCAUAGUGUCUGCAUACUAUAGUGAAUGGUGGAUUAACAAGCUAUAAGAUCAAUAAACAGAGCAAUUUCAACUGUCAUGAAGAACUGGAUAGUACUGAAAGGAUUUCUGAAGGACGAACAUCUACAUACCUCCCAGUUUUGGCUGAGAUAGAGUUUAUUUUCUUCACAGUGGCUGGUAUGUAGCCAUGUUUGGAUUUAGGAGAAAAAUGAUGUUGAUAAUGC